UACGUAGGGGGCGAGCGUUAUCCGGAUUUACUGGGCGUAAAGCGCGUGUAGGUGGUUGUGUAAGUUGUUUGUGAAAUCUCCCGGCUCAACCGGGAUACUGCAGGCAAUACUGCACGGCUAGAGUGGCAGAGAGGAAAGUGGAAUUCCCGGUGUAGUAGUGAAAUGCGUAGAUAUCGGGAGGAACACCAGUGGCGAAGGCGACUUUCUGGCUGCUAACUGACACUGAGACGCGAAAGCUAGGGGAGCGAACGG
This 252-nucleotide ribosomal RNA is filed under the name uncultured bacterium. RNAcentral describes it as "partial 16S ribosomal RNA". It matches the Rfam family "Bacterial small subunit ribosomal RNA", at positions 524 to 775 of the family's 1533-position model. The record is from RNAcentral.